RNAcentral lists this transfer RNA (73 nucleotides) under Cordylochernes scorpioides. Its description in RNAcentral is "tRNA-Lys". It matches the Rfam family "tRNA". From Rfam's summary of the family: Transfer RNA (tRNA) molecules are approximately 80 nucleotides in length. Their secondary structure includes four short double-helical elements and three loops (D, anti-codon, and T loops). The record is from RNAcentral. Lineage: Eukaryota; Metazoa; Arthropoda; Arachnida; Pseudoscorpiones; Chernetidae.
GCCCGGCUAGCUCAGUCGGUAGAGCAUGAGCCUCUUAAUCUCAGGGUCGUGGGUUCGAGCCCGGGGUUGAGCG